This is a non-coding RNA of Oryzias latipes (Japanese medaka), 5571 nucleotides long. NCBI's taxonomy places the organism in Eukaryota, Metazoa, Chordata, Actinopteri, Beloniformes, Adrianichthyidae. The record is from RefSeq and is a predicted model, not a curated record.
GCGCUAGUAUCUGGUAGCGACAGUCCAGUGUGAACACUAAAUGCUUAACGUCUCAUGUCAUGUGUUCAUAGCUUAAAACAACCUUGCUAACAAAGAUUUUUAUACUUGAAUGUAAAUUAAAAAAUAACAAAUUGUUAACUUUUUUUUGUGUUUUAAUUAUUUUUUUUGUUUUGAUCAACUAUAACUGUUGAUUUCUCCUCAUUAGUGCUACUCUCUGUCUGUCCUUGGUCUUUUCUGAAAGAAUUUGAAUUUUUUUACUCGCAUUCUUUGACAGCUUAAGAGGGGGAAAGAGGCACAGUGUGAACUUUGCAGGAGUGAGGAGCAAGGAGACGUCUGUUUUAAUUUAAAGUUCCCACCUGGUUUAUGAAUGAACAACCGCUAUGCUCCAGAGACCAGCCCACAUCCUCCGCAGCCAACCAUCCACUGGCUUUCCUCCAGUCAAAGUAGGCUCCAAGUCCACAUCCUCGCCUGGGUUUGACAGCUAAUGCUGAGUGAUUUAUCUUUGUAUCACUAAUUCCAAAAAAUGUGUUGGCACGUUUGUUUCUUUUGCUAAACUUGAAUUGGGAAAUUCAUUUCAACAAAGUUGCCACGUGAACUCGGUCCUUCAUCAUCUUUGAGCAAAAAACAAAACAAGUUCUUGGGGGUGUGGUGGAGUCUGGUUUAAAAAAAAAACAGGCAUACAAUUAAUGGAGGUGAACAGCGGGCCAAUUAUAGGACAAAAAUACAGGUCUCUGCAAUUUGAUGAUUCCACUGCUUCUGACUGGGAGACAUGAGGGAGAGGAGCUCAACACAUUUGAUACUCAUUACAGCAUAAAAAACAGACCAGAAUAGAAGAAAUGCACAUUAAUAGGUCGUAAUGAUGCCAAAAAUAUGCUAAAUUACUAUUUUUUCCCUCAGACUUUAUGUUUAGCAGCACCAGCAGAAAGCUGACUGCUGGCGCCCCAUGCUGCUUUGCUUUUGGGGGAGCAGGGAGCCAAUCAAUGUGAGCUCACAAAGGAGGGGAAGAGUAUUCAGAAAGCCAACUGUUCCCUCAGGCCAUGGGCAACGAAGAAGUGGGAGAGACAGCAGCUCACAGUGCACGGAGAGAAAGAGGCGAAGGGUUGACAACAUGUUUCCUUUGCUUCUGUGCAGUGAGAGGAAUAACAAAAUCCCUGCGACACUGGUGUGAAAUUAAUACCACCCUAACAGUUUAUCGCUUCUUUAGAAAAAGAAUCAGAGUGAGACAUCGAUAAGCAUCACCCUCUUAAUCAUUAAGCUUUUAGAAAUCAUUGUUUCUGUUAUUUUUAACUGGAUUUUUACAAUAAUUUUAAGUCAGGACACAAAUAACUCCUUUGUUUUAUGUUAAUACUCCUGCAUUCUCCCAUUCCUUCCCUGGCUUGGAUUCCCAACAUCUCUGUUCAUCAUUAUGUCAAUUGGGAAAUUAUUAAUUUACCUUAAAUAUAAUUUUUGUGAAGUCAGCCGUUGACACACACGUUAUUUUUGCUUCUAUGCUUCUAUGGUUUUCAGGGUUUUGGGUCUUAGCGGAACUUGUUGGUUGCCUAACUAUUAUUGGCAAAACAUAUAAGAUAUCAGAAAGAUCUGUUAUGUUGUAAUCAUUCCAGAUAUGUAGAUUUUUCUGAUGUGAAGGUUUUUCCUGCAAUCUUUGUGCAGGACUUAUUUGUAAAUUGGACCUUUAUACUGAAUUGACUUGUUGCUCCCUCUUUUGAUCAAUAAAAUGAUCUGAUGUUGUAAUUUGAACAUAGAGGAUCUUUAAAAAGAGUUAGACAUAUUGCUUUUUCUUUUCCUUAAUUACAAACCGAUAUGUUGUGAUUAUGAGACACUAUUGAUCAUUUUUUGUCUCUGCAACACUGAGCCUCCAUUAUGUCAGUCUUGCAUUUUAAUUGUUUGUGUGGAUUAUGUCUAAUUUAUUCAAUCUCUGUUUAGCAGGCUGAGCUCACAGCAGUAAAUUAGAGAUAUAUCCCACCUUGACAUUUUUAUUCUCAAAGGAAAAUGUAUGGGCACAAUUUAAAGGUUUUAAAACUUAAUUUUUUCCCUUUGAGAAAUAAGCUGGCAGGAGGUAAACUCAGUGUUUCUGGCCUCAUUGUUCUCCCAUAACUUGAAGUCAAAUUGAAAAGCCUCUUAUCAUAAAUACAUACUGUGGUAACUAUUUACUUACUAUUAAAUUAAAAUGUUACCAAGACAUCAUGAGGCUUAGCCAAAAUUUGAUGGCACAUUUUUGGAAGCAGUAGUGAAAAACUGCAUGUCAGUGUGAUAGUAGUUUCUAAAUAAUAUAAAAGCAAGUCUGUCGGGCUCUGUGACAUUUAAGUAUGAGCCUGUCUUUAUCAUUGAGGAUAGGUUUCAGCUUCCAAACUGCAAAAUGUCACCUGUUUCCUAAGGUCAGGUUGAUUUUUAGAAGAUCUUUUUCCUCAGAGGAGCUUAGUAAAUUCCUUGUACAAUAAUUUCCUCAAUGCUACGGAUACACCUGAUUGAAAGUUUGAAAUAAUUCAAAGUAAAAUGUUGCAGUCAUGUUCUGACACGAGUCACUAAGCUGCAAAAGAUACAAAUGCUCUAUUUUUGAUGUUCUUUAUCCUCCAUGCGCUUCUUUGUGUCUCAUUUUGUGCCUGGCCUGUAAACUCACUGCAGGCCUUCUUCACGAUUAAUAGUGGAACAAGACCUUUUCCAUUAGCCUCAUAACAAUGAUGUGAACCUCCUCUGAAAAAUUAUUUGGUCCUUUAACGCAUUAAGUUGAAAAGAAAAACAAUUUGCCUUGUCUAAAGUGGAGAUCUCCCCUUUUUUGCUGAGAGAUAGAUGGUCCUGUCUGUUUCAGCUGACCCUAAAAGCUGCUGCUUCUGUGAGGAGCAGUAACUGAAGUUCAGAAGACAAAGUGGUUUGUUUCAAACUAAAUACAUCAAUUUGUACAUUUGUUGGAAAUCAUUGCAGAAAUGGAUUGCAUCUGUUGCAGGAUGACAGCGCUGCACAGAUCAAGCUAAAAAGAUUGAGAGAUUUAUGACAGGAAGGCUGCAACGAGCUGUUAGGCCUCAGUAGAAUCUGUGCAAACGCCACUUACGCUUGUAUGGACAUCCUUUUUAUGAUAACAUCUACUUCUGUUGCUUUACAGCUUCCUUGAUCUACAGGUGUGUUUGGCAGGGGUUGCUGGGCAACAAGUCACACAAACAGGGUACUGGACAAGUUAAAAGAGAAAACCACGGAAGACCAUACCGCACACUUUCAUGCAGAAGAUAUGGACAAAGUGCCUGGAAGGAAAGUGUCUGGCUUUAUUUUUAUGAUAACAAUAAAAAUAUGUAAUAUCCAAACGUCCGCAAAAAUGUUAAAUUUUUCCAUUAAUUGGCUUUUUUUUUUUUUUUUGCUAGACAUUCAUACUUUCAGCCAGCACUGAAACAAAAACACAAUUUCUUCCUUUUUUUUUUUCUUAUCAGGCUUUCAGCAUCAAGGUCAAGGGCAGCUUCACUAUCAGUGGAUAAAUGGCAGGGAGCAGGUUUCUGCUCUGGGACCUCUUGGCGCUCAGCUCUGCUCUAAAUGAUCACUUAUCCCCGCUCGCCCACAUCAAAUUCAUUUUCUGGCAUUGACGUGAAGCAGCACUGUGGUCAGAUCAUUUCAAGUCAAGUUGCUGGAGCCCAAGUGACACUAUAACCCCUGAAAGGGAAUUACCAUGACAACGGCAGUCAGAGUUUGCACCACGUAAGGUGCAACCCUGGGGAUGAAGCAGUGGGUGGAAACGGAGUUGCAGUGGCACACAAACAGAGAAGCAAGAAGAUGCUAUUAUGAGGUCAGUGAGUUAAAUCUCCAUUAAUCACUGUUCUGCAUUGCAACUGAUGAGCUAAACAGCCUUGCUUUGUGGAGGUGAUGUCAUCUCAAUGUGUGUAGUAAAAAAGAUUCUGUUUCUCGUCUCAGCUACAAGAGGUUCACUACUUCCCUUUGCUUCACCACUGACCCCCUUCUCAUGUGGAAAGAAGGAGGCCCUUCUGUUUUCUCCUUCCUCUUUCUUGUCAAAAUUCCCGGCACACUCCGUUCUUAAUCUCGUAGCCCUGAAAAGCAGCUUGUGUGUGCCGGCUCACCUCAAGCUUUGCUCACUUGCUUUAAUAGAUGUGUUUGCUGCUAAGUGGCGGUUGUAAUAGGAUGCUUGUUUGCCUUUCUCGAUGCACUUUCAUCCUUCACUGUAGUUCUAUCGCAGCGCAGCGAUUUGUCUCUUGGCUGCAGAGCUUUACUGACUGGUGAGAAAACAAAGACUCUGGGAGUCGCUGUGCUCUGUAUUCAUGUCUGAAUGUAUGCUGCACGCACGGGUUGAGUGUUUGUAGUCAUUUGUCUUCGGAGGAGAGGUUGGUAAAAUGUAUCCCGUUCUGCCUAAUCUCUUUCUGCAUAAGUCAUUUCAGCCGCCUUUGUGUAGGAAAGGUAUGGUUUUGUUGGGAUUGAGGAAGGCUCCCCAUAGGCUGCAGCACAGCCCUGAACUGCCACAGACACUGCAGUGCUUCAUAAAUAGUGAAAAGUGAGAAAUGGGCAGAGGUGAAGAGAAGAGCAAAGAUAGCGCCGGUUCUCAUCCCACACACUUGGACAGUCUGCAGCCACAGUGAAUCAUUCAAUCAAGGGUAAUCUUCAUCGUUUGCCUACAAUGAAAAGUCUGUUCUUCACAAAGGCUCCUCACAGUAAUUCAGAGGUCUCUUUGUGUUGUGUGCAGAUGUGGCUGAUGACAAUGCCUCGUUUAUCUUGUCUGAGUAUCUUGGCCUUGACUACAAAUGACCUGAGGUCAGCCGGUGGUGCUAUGAAAUAUUUAACUCAUCUCAAAGCCAAGGCAGGCUUUUUUAAUUUUGGGAAAAAAUGGAAAUGAAAAUAUUUCUAUGAACCUGUGUAAGCAUAUUCUGCUUGUCUGUUGCAUGUUGCUACAUGCAAAAACUAUUUGCAUUUAACAUAAAAUCAAAGAUAAUGAAAAUUUAGAGCUUGUGUUAACAGUGUUAAACAGAAUUUUCAGGAUGUGCUGUCAGUGAGUGAAUUUAGAGCACCCUCAGCCCAGAAUGUUACUCCGCAGAACCGUUUUGCCACCCAUCUCAUGUCUUAAACUUUAACAGAUGUUCUGAGCUACAGUGGAAGUUUUACCACCCACCCCUGCUCCUAUAGUGUCAGUCUCUUUUUUCGACAUCUGCCAAUUUAAAGAGACUUAAAUGGUUUUCGUACAGCCUUUUGAUAACAGGAGAGUGUGUGAGUCCACAUCGAAGACCCUAAGGUAACUUUGGCAUUAUGUCAAAACUGAAUCUACUCAUUAAAACCCAAAAUAUUAAAAAAAAAAAGUCAGUGUAAAAGCAUUUUACUGAUUAAAAUCAUAAAGUGGGUCAUUAUUGCACUGUGGAAAGAUUAGAGUAUGAUCAGAUUUCUGUGACUCCUCUUCUCUUUAGAUUUGAUUCUUCUUCUCUCUGGUUCCAUGUUCUCAUCUGUCUGCGUUCUCAAGAGUGGAAGCUUGACUUGCAAGCAGAGGUCUGCAGUUGCUCCAUUCCUCGGACCUGGAGACGUUACAGUAGUGGAGUGAUCACGGCAUGGCUGUAGCAGCUUUUACACUGCAUCAACAAAACAAACAAAGAUGAU